RNAcentral lists this ribosomal RNA (253 nucleotides) under uncultured bacterium. RNAcentral's name for it is "partial 16S ribosomal RNA". It matches the Rfam family "Bacterial small subunit ribosomal RNA", at positions 524 to 776 of the family's 1533-position model. The record is from RNAcentral.
UACGUAGGUGGCAAGCGUUGUCCGGAAUUACUGGGUGUAAAGCGCGUGUAGGCGGGAGGCCAAGUCUGUGGUGAAAUCGCCUGGCCUAACUGGGCGGGGUCCAUGGAAACUGGUCACCUGGAGGUCGGUAGAGGCAAGUGGAAUUCCCGGUGUAGUGGUGAAAUGCGUAGAGAUCGGGAGGAACACCAGUGGCGAAGGCGGCUUGCUGGGCCGGACCUGACGCUGAGACGCGAAGGCGUGGGGAGCGAACGGG